GGAAAACCUUCAAAAUGGACGAAGUCUGAUGGAGCACGCCGCGUGAGUGAAGAAGGGUUUCGGCUCGUAAACUCUGUUGUUAAGAAGAACAUAUCUGAGAGUAACUGUUCAGGUAUUGACGGUAUUUAACCAGAAAGCCACGGCUAACUACGUGCCAGCAGCCGCGGUAAUACAAA
RNAcentral lists this ribosomal RNA (176 nucleotides) under uncultured Lactobacillus sp. RNAcentral describes it as "partial 16S ribosomal RNA". It matches the Rfam family "Bacterial small subunit ribosomal RNA", at positions 357 to 529 of the family's 1533-position model. The record is from RNAcentral. Lineage: Bacteria; Bacillati; Bacillota; Bacilli; Lactobacillales; Lactobacillaceae.